AUUGAACGCUGGCGGCAGGCCUAACACAUGCAAGUCGAGCGGAUGAGUGGAGCUUGCUCCAUGAUUCAGCGGCGGACGGGUGAGUAAUGCCUAGGAAUCUGCCUGGUAGUGGGGGACAACGUUUCGAAAGGAACGCUAAUACCGCAUACGUCCUACGGGAGAAAGUGGGGGAUCUUCGGACCUCACGCUAUCAGAUGAGCCUAGGUCGGAUUAGCUAGUUGGUGAGGUAAAGGCUCACCAAGGCGACGAUCCGUAACUGGUCUGAGAGGAUGAUCAGUCACACUGGAACUGAGACACGGUCCAGACUCCUACGGGAGGCAGCAGUGGGGAAUAUUGGACAAUGGGCGAAAGCCUGAUCCAGCCAUGCCGCGUGUGUGAAGAAGGUCUUCGGAUUGUAAAGCACUUUAAGUUGGGAGGAAGGGCAGUAAGUUAAUACCUUGCUGUUUUGACGUUACCAACAGAAUAAGCGCCGGCUAACUUCGUG
Molecule: ribosomal RNA, 484 nt
Filed under: uncultured bacterium
Lineage: Bacteria
Description: partial 16S ribosomal RNA
Rfam family: Bacterial small subunit ribosomal RNA
Source: RNAcentral